CCAGGUUGGACUUUGGCUGCGGAAUCGCAAUCAAAAGAUGGGUGGAGGGAGGUGGAACUCUGACACUCCAUGUUAGUGGAAUGGCACAAGACAAGCCAUCGCCCAUGUUAUUUUUAACUGUGUGUCUCCAUGGAAACCGGCACAUUUGCAAGGAGUGGGUGAUCUCCUGCUGUGCACGUGCCGAGGAAGACUCCUACCCUGGUCACAGCGUGAAUGGUGUUCUGUCUGUCUGUAAUUCUAAUGACAUGCCAAGUCUAAGAGUGUGACAGAAGAAGAGACCAAAGAGAGACAGGCAGAUACUGAGGGAGAGAGGAGAGGGCUUCUGAGGUGACUGAAGAAACACCAACAUGCUGUAGAAGACGACAGUGCUGUUGUCAGGCUGGAGCUAAAAGCAGCCAAUCGUGUGGCUCUGCGUUGAGGAGCUCUGGGGUGAUGUUAGGCAGUUUCAUACGAUGAGCUUUGCCAAAUGAUGAACACUUCAUAAGAUGCCCAGAUCCAUCUAAACCUAAAUGAUUAAACUUACAUUAUCCU
Molecule: long non-coding RNA, 531 nt
Organism: Maylandia zebra (zebra mbuna)
Lineage: Eukaryota; Metazoa; Chordata; Actinopteri; Cichliformes; Cichlidae
Source: RefSeq, a predicted model, not a curated record